This 267-nucleotide long non-coding RNA is filed under the name Elaeis guineensis (African oil palm). RNAcentral describes it as "long non-coding RNA (EGUI_LNC020570)". Lineage: Eukaryota; Viridiplantae; Streptophyta; Magnoliopsida; Arecales; Arecaceae. The record is from RNAcentral.
AUAAUCAAUGACAAGUCGAAUAUCCCUCGACUGACCGUAGCCUAAUCAGUAUAAUUCCAAUCCGACCUUGAUCGUUUUGGUAUUUUUCAUUCCGCUUAGUUAGGACUAAGUCGGCAUAUUAGUCUUUCGAUGAUAGUCAGCUUUUACAAUGGAGAGCCAACAUUGGGAACCGAAGUAUAAUCGAUGAUUCAGCUUUUGCGGUAAAAGCCUGUGUAGUCGAUGUCGCUUAAGAUUACAGUCGGUAUGUUGAUUUUUGUAUGAGAACCA